GAUGAAGAACGUAGCGAAAUGCGAUAAGUAAUGUGAAUUGCAGAAUUCAGUGAAUCAUCGAAUCUUUGAACGCACAUUGCGCCCAUUAGUAUUCUAGUGGGCAUGCCUGUUCGAGCGUCAUUAAGUCCACUUAAGCCCUGCUUAGUGUUGGGAGACUGCUCCAGCGGUGCUACCCUGUAGCUACCCUGCAGCUCCUCAAAGACAGCGGCGGAGUUGUGGUAUCCUCUGAGCUUAGUAACUUGUUCUAGCUUUCGAGUACACCAAUUCCCCUGCCGUAAAACCCUUAAUUUUUAAUGGUUGACCUCGGAUCAGGUAGGAAUACCCGCUGAACUUAAGCAUAUCAAUAAGCGGAGGA
RNAcentral lists this unclassified non-coding RNA (355 nucleotides) under soil metagenome. Its description in RNAcentral is "partial contains 5.8S ribosomal RNA, internal transcribed spacer 2, and large subunit ribosomal RNA". The stretch from base 1 to 120 matches the Rfam family "5.8S ribosomal RNA", at positions 35 to 154 of the family's 154-position model. The record is from RNAcentral.